Molecule: ribosomal RNA, 484 nt
Filed under: uncultured bacterium
Lineage: Bacteria
Description: partial 16S ribosomal RNA
Rfam family: Bacterial small subunit ribosomal RNA
Source: RNAcentral
AUUGAACGCUGGCGGCAUGCUUUACACAUGCAAGUCGAACGGCAGCGCGGGCUUCGGCCUUGCGGCGAGUGGCGAACGGGCGAGUAAUGAAUCCGAACGUGCCCAGCCUAUGGGGAUAGCCUGACGACAGCAGGCUUAAUACCGCACCCGACCUGAGGGUGAAAGCGGGGGACCGAAAGGCCUCGCGCUAUUGGAGCGCCCGAAGUCGGAUUACCUAGUUGGUGGGGUAAAGGCUUACCAAGGCGACGAUCCGUAGCUGGUCUGAGAGGACGACCAGCCACACUGGGACUGAGACACGGCCCAGACUCCUACGGGAGGCAGCAGUGGGGAAUUUUGGACAAUGGGGGCAACCCUGAUCCAGCCAUGCCGCGUGCGGGAAGAAGGCCUUCGGGUUGUAAACCGCUUUUGUUCGGGAAGAAAUCCUCUGGGCUAAUACCCCGGGGGGAUGACGGUACCGGAAGAAUAAGCACCGGCUAACUACGUG